CCUACGGGCAGCAGCAGUGGGGAAUAUUGCGCAAUGGGGGCAACCCUGACGCAGCAACGCCGCGUGAUUGAAGAAGGCCUUCGGGUUGUAAAGAUCUUUAAUCGGGGACGAAUUUUGACGGUACCCGCAGAAUAAGCUCCGGCUAACUACGUGCCAGCGGCCGCGGUAAUACGUAGGGAGCAAGCGUUAUCCGGAUUUACUGGCGGUAAAGGGCGUGUAGGCGGGCAUGCAAGCCAGAAGUGAAAUCUGGUGGCUUAACCCCCACACUGCUUUUGGAACUGCGUGUCUUGAGUGAGGGAGAGGCAGGCGGAAUUCCCAGUGUAGCGGUGAAAUGCGUAGAUAUUGGGAGGAACACCAGUGGCGAAGGCGGCUCACUGGACUGUAACUGACGUUGAGGCUCGAAAGCGUGGGGAGCAAACAGGAUUAGAUACCCCUGUAGUC
This 441-nucleotide ribosomal RNA is filed under the name uncultured bacterium. RNAcentral's name for it is "partial 16S ribosomal RNA". It matches the Rfam family "Bacterial small subunit ribosomal RNA", at positions 338 to 795 of the family's 1533-position model. The record is from RNAcentral.